UCCAUGUUCCGUUAAUUGCUUUGUGCC
RNAcentral lists this non-coding RNA (27 nucleotides) under Mus musculus (house mouse). Lineage: Eukaryota; Metazoa; Chordata; Mammalia; Rodentia; Muridae. The record is from RNAcentral.